CUCUCGCUCUCUUACAAGUUUUCUCUGCGCUGCAUUGCGAGCUGACCAUGCUGAAGGAGCAAUUGUGGAAAAUAUUUUAGAUCCGUGGAGUGUCUGGGUUUGUGUCAAAGGAACAUACCUUGUGCUUGUUACAUUUGAAACUCCUGGCAGCCUGGCACUGACCACGUGAAACCUCCCUGAGCUUAAAGGGGGUUUUGAGAACUGUUCAUCCAAAUCCGCCCAGUUUUGUGAUGCCGAUCUCAGACUGCAUGGUUGAGCUGUGAGACUUUGGCCUGGUGACCCAAGGUUGUAAUGUUUGACAGUGAGAGUUGACCGUGACAGUAUCACGGGAAACGCCUCAAAAAGCAAAUCUGUAGCCUCGCUUUACCCAUACGGUCACCAUUUCUUGAUCUUGUGGGAUAAUGCUGCAGUACAGACCUUUACAAAUUACUGGAUUAUUGUGUGCUCGAGUACACUGUGUAAUUGUACAUUUAUUUAAUAGGUCUGGUCAUGAGAUUUGCCUGGAGUCAUCAGUGAUUUGACUGCUGAUUGCCUGAACGGUAAAGACAUAAUUUAAUUGGCUGCUGUCUUGAACUCAGAUCAUCACAACUUUUAAUAAACUUAUU
Periophthalmus magnuspinnatus is the source of this 605-nucleotide long non-coding RNA. RefSeq lists it as uncharacterized. The transcript is spliced from 8 exons. The record is from RefSeq and is a predicted model, not a curated record. Lineage: Eukaryota; Metazoa; Chordata; Actinopteri; Gobiiformes; Gobiidae.